AAUGAACGUUGGCGGCGUGGAUUAGGCAUGCAAGUCGUACGGUAAGCUUCGGCUUAUAGUGGCGAAAGGGAGAGUAACGCGUGGUUACAUGCCCUCGGGACCGGGAUAGCGGCGGGAAACUGCCGGUAAUACCGGAUAAUAUCUUUGGAUCAAAGGUGUGAUUCCGCCCGAGGAUUGGACCGCGUUCUAUUAGCUUGUUGGCGGGGUAAUGGCCCACCAAGGCGACGAUGGAUACCGGGUGUGAGAGCAUGGCCCGGCUCACUGGGACUGAGACACUGCCCAGACACCUACGGGUGGCUG
This 300-nucleotide ribosomal RNA is filed under the name uncultured Planctomycetota bacterium. RNAcentral's name for it is "bacterial SSU rRNA". It matches the Rfam family "Bacterial small subunit ribosomal RNA", at positions 29 to 351 of the family's 1533-position model. Lineage: Bacteria; Pseudomonadati; Planctomycetota. The record is from RNAcentral.